UGCCCUUUGUACACACCGCCCGUCGCUACUACCGAUUGAAUGGCUCAGUGAGGCCUUCGGACUGGCUCGAAGAGGUUGGCAACGACCACUUCGAGCCGGAAAGUUCGUCAAACUCGGUCAUUUAGAGGAAGUAAAAGUCGUAACAAGGUUUCCGUAGGUGAACCUGCGGAAGGAUCAUUA
This 180-nucleotide ribosomal RNA is filed under the name Verrucoconiothyrium nitidae. RNAcentral's name for it is "partial 18S ribosomal RNA". It matches the Rfam family "Eukaryotic small subunit ribosomal RNA", at positions 1654 to 1831 of the family's 1831-position model. The record is from RNAcentral. Lineage: Eukaryota; Fungi; Ascomycota; Dothideomycetes; Pleosporales; Didymosphaeriaceae.